Long non-coding RNA from Bos taurus (domestic cattle), 538 nucleotides. Lineage: Eukaryota; Metazoa; Chordata; Mammalia; Artiodactyla; Bovidae. The record is from Ensembl.
AGAGGAAGCCCGGGAAACCGGUUUCCGCGUUGCAGCUGCUAUCCAGCGCUCCCUGGCCGGUCCCAGAACCGAGACCUGGGCGCUAGGUGCAGCUGCUCUGCGGUGCCCGCUGCUGUGUGGGCGCCUGUACGUCAGUCAGGGCAGGCGGCGCCGGGAGCGGACCGAGGGCUGCCCGGCGGAAGGGCUCUGUCCGCGGCUGCGGGCCUUAAGAACGUGCGGGCCGCCUCCGUUGUGGGCCUCCCGAACAUUUUGCAUUGUUCUGUUCUUCAAGCUAAUGGAGGAAAAACACCCUGAUGGACAUGAGCCACGUUGGACCCACACUCACUGGGCUUGGCAAAGGGUGAAGAAAUCAGGAGAAUGGAGAGAAAUUCCACAGGUGGAUGGCAAUGUGCCACUUCAGCUCCGCCUGGUGCCUGGCAUCCCCUCCAUCUGGGACAUGGGGACCCUUCUCUAAAGAAACCCAAAAGCUUCAGGGAAAUAUCAAGACCAGGGAGGGACCAGAAGCCUCAGCUCCCUGCUGAUUCCACUUUAAGUCCUG